RNAcentral lists this ribosomal RNA (864 nucleotides) under uncultured bacterium. RNAcentral's name for it is "bacterial SSU rRNA". It matches the Rfam family "Bacterial small subunit ribosomal RNA", at positions 639 to 1504 of the family's 1533-position model. The record is from RNAcentral.
GGCUAGAGUGCAGGAGAGGAAGGUAGAAUUCCCGGUGUAGCGGUGAAAUGCGUAGAGAUCGGGAGGAAUACCAGUGGCGAAGGCGGCCUUCUGGACUGACACUGACACUGAGGUGCGAAAGCGUGGGUAGCAAACAGGAUUAGAUACCCUGGUAGUCCACGCCGUAAACGAUGUCGACCAGCCGUUGGGUGCCUAGCGCACUUUGUGGCGAAGUUAACGCGAUAAGUCGACCGCCUGGGGAGUACGGCCGCAAGGUUAAAACUCAAAUGAAUUGACGGGGGCCCGCACAAGCGGUGGAGCAUGUGGUUUAAUUCGAUGCAACGCGAAGGACCUUACCUACCCUUGACAUCCUGCGAACCCGGAAGAGAUUCCGGGGUGCCUUCGGGAACGCAGAGACAGGUGCUGCAUGGCUGUCGUCAGCUCGUGUUGUGAAAUGUUGGGUUAAGUCCCGUAACGAGCGCAACCCUUGUCCUUAUUUGCCAGCACGUAAUGGUGGGAACUCUAAGGAGACUGCCGGUGACAAACCGGAGGAAGGUGGGGACGACGUCAAGUCAUCAUGGCCCUUACGGGUAGGGCUACACACGUGCUACAAUGGCCGGUACAAAGGGCUGCGAGCUCGCGAGAGUCAGCGAAUCCCUUAAAGCCGGUCUCAGUCCGGAUCGGAGUCUGCAACUCGACUCCGUGAAGUCGGAAUCGCUAGUAAUCGUGAAUCAGAAUGUCACGGUGAAUACGUUCCCGGGCCUUGUACACACCGCCCGUCACACCAUGGGAGUGGACUGCACCAGAAGUGGUUAGCCUAACGCAAGAGGGCGAUCACCACGGUGUGGUUCAUGACUGGGGUGAAGUCGUAAAAAGGUAACCGUA